AUCAAUAAGCGGAGGAAAAGAAACUAACAAGGAUUCCCCUAGUAACGGCGAGUGAAGCGGGAAGAGCUCAAAUUUGUAAUCUGGCACUUUCAGUGUCCGAGUUGUAAUCUCGAGAAGUGUUUUCCGCGCCGGACCGCAUACAAGUCUGUUGGAAUACAGCGUCAUAGUGGUGAGAACCCCGUAACUGAUGCGGAUGCCCGGUGCUUUGUGAUACACUUUCGAAGAGUCGAGUUGUUUGGGAAUGCAGCUCAAAUUGGGUGGUAAAUUCCAUCUAAAGCUAAAUAUUGGCGAGAGACCGAUAGCGAACAAGUACCGUGAGGGAAAGAUGAAAAGCACUUUGGAAAGAGAGUUAACAGUACGUGAAAUUGUUGGAAGGGAAACGAUUGAAGUCAGACUUGUUAUCUGGAGUUCAGCCUUUCGGUGUACUCUCCAGUUUACAGGCCAGCAUCAGUUUUCGGGGCGGGAAAAUCGUAAUUAGAAGGUAGCAGCCUAGCUGUGUUAUAGCUUUUUACUGGAUUCCGCUUUGGGGACUGAGGAACGCAGUGUGCUUUUAGCAAUACCCUCGGGUAUUUCACACUAGGA
This 582-nucleotide ribosomal RNA is filed under the name Curvibasidium nothofagi. RNAcentral describes it as "eukaryotic LSU rRNA". It matches the Rfam family "Eukaryotic large subunit ribosomal RNA", at positions 42 to 621 of the family's 3401-position model. The record is from RNAcentral. Lineage: Eukaryota; Fungi; Basidiomycota; Microbotryomycetes.